UACCAACUGGAGAUAAACUGACUGUAAAUGAAGGAGAUUCAACCAAUAUCACGUGUUCUACUAACAGUAACCCUGUAGCCUUAGUUACCUGGUAUAAUGGUACAAUUCAGAUAUCAUCUAAACAUACCAACAUCAAUACCUUUACCAUACAAGCUACAUGUCUGGAUACUGGUGACUAUACUUGUCACGCUACCAAUACCGAAAUAUCAAGUGUUCAAUACAGCCAAUCAUUGACAUUAUUUAUUAACUGUUCACCUAGACAAGAUACUAGAGUUAUAAAAACAUCUAUAGUUAGUGGUGAUAUAAGAGAUAUAGUACAACUGGUAGCUGAUGUUAUAUCCUAUCCACCACCAACCUUCACCUGGUAUUAUAAUAAUAUAACUACUGAAGAUGUUAAUGAUAGUGUCAUUAAACAGAUUGAUACCAAUAUAUCUAUCAAUACUUAUAGAUCAACAUUAAAUAUCAACAUUACAUCCAACAUCUUCUAUACAUCAUAUACAGUCAAUGUAUCUAAUAAUAUUGGUUAUACAGAACUAGAAUAUCAAGUUGCAGGUCAAUAUGUACCUACACCACCUGGCACCAAUGGAGGGUUAAUAGCUGGAGUUGUUAUAGCAGUGCUGGUAAUUAUUAUCGUUGCUAUUGUUGCUGUUAUUCUGGUACGAAAAAUGAGAAAGAAACAUGAAGCCGAAUCAUCAACAUAUGCUGGUUUAGAUCUAGAGACUAGAACAGCUACUGGUAUAGAUGAUACAACAUACCAAGGUCUACAACAUUAUGUUAAUCUACGAUCAUCUUCUACAGUCAAUAAUAACCAGAACUACGACUCACUUCAACAUAUAGAACCAACUACAGUAUAUGAUAGUUUGAAUACAAAUAUGGGUGAUGCGGUGAUAUCUGAAGGAAUAACUAAUACAAGCAAUUUGUCGAAUCCUUACGGAAAUAUUGAUGCAAAAGAAACACCAACUUAUGCUAAUCUUAAAACUGGGAGGAAUACACAAUAAUUACAACUGUAAUGUGGGAGACAACUCUACAUUCGUUAAAGUACAGGAUGCAGACCGCCGCUAAUUUCCCCAUUGACUUCAAUGUUAAUUCUGGCCUCUUUGCCCGGCUCAAACUUUUCCCCUAAUUAGACUAGAUAUUUCAAGUCCUAAAACCCUAAUGUGUUGAGUCUGCAUUUUUAUACUAUGUAGACUGUAAGUUACGUGACUAUUAUAUUACUUUGGGUUAUUGCUAUUUUACUAACAAUGCUGUAACAAUGGCAUCGAUUUGGUUUUUUUUGGUAUCUACGAAGAUGGCACCGUCGGCAAUAUGAAUAGCACAUAUAAAUUUAUUUACAAUAGUAGUUUGUGCGCCGCGCUCAUGACAGUUUUGUUAACGUUGGGGGUCUAUGCUGUAUCUAUAACAGAGCCAGG
Patella vulgata (common limpet) is the source of this 1409-nucleotide RNA transcript. RefSeq lists it as uncharacterized. NCBI's taxonomy places the organism in Eukaryota, Metazoa, Mollusca, Gastropoda, Patellidae. The transcript is spliced from 5 exons. The record is from RefSeq and is a predicted model, not a curated record.